AGUGAACGCUGGCGGUAGGCCUAACACAUGCAAGUCGAACGACGGCACAGUAAGAGCUUGCUCUUACGGGUGGCGAGUGGCGGACGGGUGAGGAAUACAUCGGAAUCUACUUUUUCGUGGGGGAUAACGUAGGGAAACUUACGCUAAUACCGCAUACGACCUACGGGUGAAAGCAGGGGAUCUUCGGACCUUGCGCGAUUGAAUGAGCCGAUGUCGGAUUAGCUAGUUGGCGGGGUAAAGGCCCACCAAGGCGACGAUCCGUAGCUGGUCUGAGAGGAUGAUCAGCCACACUGGAACUGAGACACGGUCCAGACUCCUACGGGAGGCAGCAGUGGGGAAUAUUGGACAAUGGGCGCAAGCCUGAUCCAGCCAUACCGCGUGGGUGAAGAAGGCCUUCGGGUUGUAAAGCCCUUUUGUUGGGAAAGAAAAGCAGCAGGUUAAUACCCCGCUGUUCUGACGGUACCCAAAGAAUAAGCACCGGCUAACUUCGUG
RNAcentral lists this ribosomal RNA (492 nucleotides) under uncultured bacterium. RNAcentral's name for it is "partial 16S ribosomal RNA". It matches the Rfam family "Bacterial small subunit ribosomal RNA", at positions 29 to 507 of the family's 1533-position model. The record is from RNAcentral.